RNAcentral lists this ribosomal RNA (783 nucleotides) under Lactarius rufus. RNAcentral's name for it is "eukaryotic LSU rRNA". The stretch from base 282 to 435 matches the Rfam family "5.8S ribosomal RNA". The record is from RNAcentral. Lineage: Eukaryota; Fungi; Basidiomycota; Agaricomycetes; Russulales; Russulaceae.
UCAUUUAGAGGAAGUAAAAGUCGUAACAAGGUUUCCGUAGGUGAACCUGCGGAAGGAUCAUUAUCGUACAAAAUGUGAGAGGGGCAUGCGAGGGCUGUCGCUGACUCAAAGUCGUGCACGCCCGAGUGUGUCGCCUCACAUAAUAAUCCAUCUCACCCUUUGUGCAUCACCGCGUGGGCACCCCUUUGGGAUCAUCUCGGAGGGGGCUCGCGUUUUCACACAAAACCCCCCUUUUAAAAGUGUAGAAUGACCUCAUUUAUGCGUUAACCCGCAAUCAAUACAACUUUCAACAACGGAUCUCUUGGCUCUCGCAUCGAUGAAGAACGCAGCGAAAUGCGAUACGUAAUGUGAAUUGCAGAAUUCAGUGAAUCAUCGAAUCUUUGAACGCACCUUGCGCCCCCUGGUAUUCCGAGGGGCACACCCGUUUGAGUGUCGUGAAAACCUCAACCUCCUUGGUUUCUUCUGGAGACCAAAGCAGGCUUGGACUUUGGAGGCCUUUGCUGGCACCUCUCGCCAGCUCCUCUUAAAUGAAUUAGCAGGGUCCUCUUUGCUGAUCCUCGACGUGUGAUAAGAUGUUUCCAUGUCUUGGUUUCUGGCUCUGUCACCUUUGGGACCCGCUUCUAACCGUCUUCAACCUUGCGUUGAGACAACGUUCGAGCAUGUCUCCCUUCUCGGGAAGCUCCCUCGACCCCACGAACCCUUGACCUCAAAUCGGGUGAGACUACCCGCUGAACUUAAGCAUAUCAAUAAGCGGAGGAAAAGAAACUAACAAGGAUUCCCCUA